ACGGACCAGAUAAUGAGCUCUGUGAGAUGGUGAGGACAGGAAGAAGAAUCUGUUGUGCAUAUGUAAACAGAGAGUCCAGCAGACUUUGACACUCUUCUCAGUGGGCGGUGGAGUCUACGUUCCUUGCUUUGAAUAUUCCAGUCUCCAUGCUGUGAGGAAGUCUAAGGCUGGACUUCUUCCUGGCCCGCAGCCCUAGGUGGGCUCCCGGUGACAUCCAGGAUUAACAUGCCAGCCAUGAGAGGGAGCCAUCUUGAAGGUGCAUCCUUCAAGCACAAGUGGAGUUUGCCAUUGGAGCAGAGACAAGACAACUCAGCUCAGCUCCUCCUAAAUCACAGAUCUGUGGGCAACGGAAAUGAUCGUUGUGGUUUUAAGCUAUUAUGUGCUGGGGUAGUUUGUUACUUGGCAUGAAUAACCAGAACAUCCACGGCAGCCCCUGACUUAGAAGGUAGCCAAUCAGAGUGCACUAAUGACUCAACAAGGUUGGGGUAUAAGUCUGUCUGCCCUUGGAAUGACCUCUUUCAAAGCAGGAGGGAUACUUUCCGUAUCUCUACUCUUUCCAUGAUGCUUUCUGUUCUGUAAAUGUUGGCUGAACUGAACAAAAUAGGUGAAGAGACUCAA
This is a long non-coding RNA of Suricata suricatta (meerkat), 618 nucleotides long. RefSeq lists it as uncharacterized. The transcript has 3 exons. NCBI's taxonomy places the organism in Eukaryota, Metazoa, Chordata, Mammalia, Carnivora, Herpestidae. The record is from RefSeq and is a predicted model, not a curated record.